UACGUAGGUGGCAAGCGUUGUCCGGAUUUACUGGGCGUAAAGAGCGCGCCGGCGGUCAGAUAAGUCGAAUGUGAAAGCCCCCGGCUCAACUGGGGAGGGUCAUUCGAUACUGUUCGACUCGAAGGCAGGAGAGGGAAGUGGAAUUCCCGGUGUAGUGGUGAAAUGCGUAGAUAUCGGGAGGAACACCAGUGGCGAAGGCGACUUCCUGGCCUGUUCUUGACGCUGAGGCGCGAAAGCUAGGGGAGCAAACGGG
Molecule: ribosomal RNA, 253 nt
Filed under: uncultured bacterium
Lineage: Bacteria
Description: partial 16S ribosomal RNA
Rfam family: Bacterial small subunit ribosomal RNA
Source: RNAcentral